Molecule: ribosomal RNA, 253 nt
Filed under: uncultured bacterium
Lineage: Bacteria
Description: partial 16S ribosomal RNA
Rfam family: Bacterial small subunit ribosomal RNA
Source: RNAcentral
UACAGGGGGUGCAAACGUUGCUCGGAAUCAUUGGGCGUAAAGCGCACGUAGGCGGUCUGUUAUGUCGGAUGUGAAAUCCCUCGGCUCAACCGAGGACGUGCAUCCGAAACUGCGGAGCUUGAGUACUGAAGAGGAUCGCGGAAUUCCCGGUGUAGAGGUGAAAUUCGUAGAUAUCGGGAGGAACACCAGUGGCGAAGGCGGCGAUCUGGGCAGAUACUGACGCUGAGGUGCGAAAGCGUGGGGAGCAAACAGG